This 509-nucleotide ribosomal RNA is filed under the name uncultured bacterium. RNAcentral's name for it is "bacterial SSU rRNA". It matches the Rfam family "Bacterial small subunit ribosomal RNA", at positions 21 to 525 of the family's 1533-position model. The record is from RNAcentral.
GGCUCAGGAUGAACGCUAGCGGCAGGCUUAAUACAUGCAAGUCGAGGGGCAGCACAGGUAGCAAUACUGGGUGGCGACCGGCAAACGGGUGCGGAACACGUACACAACUUACCUUCUGGUGGGGGAUAGCCUUUGGAAACGGAGAUUAAUACCCCAUAUUAUAUAUGAGCUGCAUGGUUUGUAUAUUAAAGAUUUAUUGCCGGAAGAUGGGUGUGCGUAUGAUUAGGUAGUUGGCGGGGUAACGGCCCACCAAGCCGACGAUCAUUAACUGGUGUGAGAGCACGACCAGUCACACGGGCACUGAGACACGGGCCCGACUCCUACGGGAGGCAGCAGUAAGGAAUAUUGGUCAAUGGACGGAAGUCUGAACCAGCCAUGCCGCGUGGAGGAUGAAGGUCCUCUGGAUUGUAAACUUCUUUUAUACGGGGCGAAAAAAGGGAAUUCUUUCUCGUCUGACGGUACCCUAUGAAUAAGCACCGGCUAACUCCGUGCCAGCAGCCGCGGUAAUA